Molecule: long non-coding RNA, 837 nt
Organism: Girardinichthys multiradiatus
Lineage: Eukaryota; Metazoa; Chordata; Actinopteri; Cyprinodontiformes; Goodeidae
Exons: 3
Source: RefSeq, a predicted model, not a curated record
UAUAAAUGGAUUUCAUGUCUUAUUCUACAAUAAGAGUUGAAAAGUAAUAAAGUUAAAAAUAAGUUAAUAAAUAUGUUCAUAAGUAUAGAUAAGAAAUGCUAAAAAUCUUUAAAAACUGUGAAAUAUGCCUUUAGUGAUUGCUUUUAGUGACGGAUUAAACAACCAAUAGCUGGCACAGUCUGAUUUCACAUCAGCCAAUAAGGUUGAUUGUCCCGCCCCUUUAACAGCUGUGCUGAGAUUUUGCUCAGAUUGUGUUAGACACGCUUGAGAGCUCAGAGUUGACGGUUGUUUCCGCUAAUAGCCUGGAAAUCGUGUCAAAUUUGAUGAAGAAUCUUGGAAAUAGAAAGCUUCCCUUAUGAACGGCUGAAGCCCGGAAAAAUCCCCGUGUAGUCGUGUAGCAUCGAAGCAUCGGUCAGGUUUUUUGGUUAUAGUGCACUUUUGGCCUGUGGUGCCUCGAAACCACCAGAUCAUCCUCUCCUGAACUUGGAUGGCGAGCCCCAGCCCAGAGGACCGAGUGAACUGGUAGAUUGUGACCCGACUGGUCACUGGGUGUGAGACAUUGAAUGAAUAUUUGACAGAUGUAUCGAAAAGACUGGGUUAUUUAUGUUAUUUUAUUUUGUUGUUUUUUUUUAAACAAAGUGCGCAAUUUUUGUUUAUUUGUAAAUGUGGAUCCACAAAUGUUCACUAUAUUAAACUCUACUCUUUUUCAUAGACAUUGUGUGUUCUCUGUUGUUACUCACACCUAGGCUCCCGUGAAUUUAGAAAUCUUCUGAUCAGGCCCAGUUUUCUCUAUGCUUGUGUAGUGUUGGUAUUAGUCAUCAAAGUAAAUUGAUUUAC